Molecule: ribosomal RNA, 440 nt
Filed under: uncultured bacterium
Lineage: Bacteria
Description: partial 16S ribosomal RNA
Rfam family: Bacterial small subunit ribosomal RNA
Source: RNAcentral
CCUACGGGAGGCUGCAGUGGGGAAUAUUGCACAAUGGGGGCAACUCUGAUGCAGCGACGCCGCGUGCGUGAAGACGUAACUCGUUAUGGAAAGCUGCAUCAGCAGGGAAGUAAAUGACGGUACCUGAGUAAGAAGUCCUGGCUAACUACGUGCCAGCAGCCGCGGUAAUACGUAGGGGGCGAGCGUUAUCCGGAUUUACUGGGUGUAAAGGGAGCGUAGACGGCAGUGCAAGUCUGGAGUGAAAGGCGGGGGCUCAACCCCCGGACUGCUCUGGAAACUGUACGGCUUGAGUGCAGGAGAGGUAAGUGGAAUUCCUAGUGUAGCGGUGAAAUGCGUAGAUAUUAGGAAGAACACCAGUGGCGAAGGCGGCUUACUGGACUGUAACUGACGUUGAGGCUCGAAAGCGUGGGGAGCAAACAGGAUUAGAUACCCCUGUAGUC